UAUUUUACUUAGAACCAGUUUGUGCUGGCUGUACUCAGCACAGUUUAGUUUUAUUUUCUCUGCAGUAAAGAAGCUUUUCUUGCUCAAGUGCCUGUCCUUGUGUUGAACCCAAAUUAUUACAAUCUGCUAGAUGCAAUUCUGUAGUAGUCAAUCACAACAUAGGCAUUCUGGACCAGAGGUGUGCUGUUUGAACCAGGAUGGGAGACUCCAUUCUAAGAUGGCAUCUUUGAGUGCCUGGGGAAAGUUCAUGAGGAUCCACUACAGGCUUUUAUUUGCACACAAGAUGUCCUUCCAGAGCAUGGGAAGUGCUUGAAACUCAGAAUUUCUUGAAUGGCAGAAGAAUGCUUUGACAAGACAGUUGCUCUUUAUUGGGACAGCACCUUCUCCUUGGCGGAAAGACCCAUGAUCUGCAGUCCUUCAACAACGCUGAGAGCUCUGUAAAACAACACAGAUAUGAAGUCCUCAGUGGGCAUUCUCAACAUCUCGCAUGGCACAAAGCGAAAUUCUAAAUUGUGAAACAGAAGAGGACAGGCCUAGAGAAGAGAGAUACGCUUCUUUACUAGGGGCUGCUGGAAAGUUUGAAGACAGGGUGAAGCUGAAGAAUGAAUCCUGACAACACUGGCACUGUUUCUAUUAUACAAGAGGAAGAGUGGUGAAAUGUGAUGCCCAUAUUUCAGGAAACAUUGUGUGCUUUGUUUGUAGUUCUAAUAACUAGCCAAACAUUGGUAUACAUCUCAGAGAUCAACAAUAGGCCUUGAGAUGGAUUCAGAAUAGAUGCAAUUGAAAAGCAAAAUUGACUUCCCAAAGCUGAACUGCAAAGCAGCUCUCUACAGAGCGUGGGGAGCAAAAGACCUUGGCAUUGGCACCACAUUUCCAGUGCUACUAUUUUUGUUGAAACACUGAGGGAACUGCAAUCUGAAGGUUCUCCUGAUUUUUGUUAUUUACUUAAAAGCAGCUGUUUGUAAGUGGGGUUCAAACUGGAUCAGAACCAAGGGAUAGGGUGUUUAACUUUUCCCCACCCUUAAAGGCUCCUUAAAUCCCUAUGCUGUAGUUGGCUACAUGGGGCGGGGGCAUGGAGCACAGAUUCCUUUAUUUUUUGUCCUAUAGCACUAACAACAGUUGCAGUGGGAGGGCAUCUACAUCUGCUAAAAAGGACAAGUGGAAAGAACUGGAUACUGCCACCCCCCCUCCAGUGCCAAGGCUCUGAUCUAAUUCUAAGUCCUGUGCAGGUGUUUUUAUGUAAAAAUAAAGAUCUCAGGAGACCCGAUCGUGGCUCUCUUGCAGUACUGUUUGCUUUUAAUUUGACCUGAUAUGAAGAGCAUGUCUGAGAAUAAAAUGUGCCUCCGUUAUU
Long non-coding RNA from Hemicordylus capensis (graceful crag lizard), 1351 nucleotides. RefSeq lists it as uncharacterized. NCBI's taxonomy places the organism in Eukaryota, Metazoa, Chordata, Lepidosauria, Squamata, Cordylidae. The transcript has 4 exons. The record is from RefSeq and is a predicted model, not a curated record.